RNAcentral lists this long non-coding RNA (271 nucleotides) under Lathyrus oleraceus (garden pea). RNAcentral describes it as "Pisum sativum (pea) long non-coding RNA (PSAT_LNC016246)". The record is from RNAcentral. Lineage: Eukaryota; Viridiplantae; Streptophyta; Magnoliopsida; Fabales; Fabaceae.
UGUCAACCCUAAAGGAAAGUAGGAAUAAUCAUAAAGGUGUCAACACUAAAGGAAAGUAGGAAUAACCAUAAAGGUGUCAACGAUAAAGAAAAGUUCUAAUGGUGUUUAAACCAAACGGAUAUGAAAAGAGUAGCCACAGAGAAUAGCUUGCAGACCUGACAAUGAAUUUACUAGAAUUACACUAAACUCUAUGUGUAAGACCCCAAUUUUGACCCUAAGAUCCCUCAUGUAAUUCCAUCAUAAGCAUUAGCAUUGAGAUCAUACCUUGACA